CACCACCCUCCAGGGAGCCUCCUGCAAGCCGGUGAAACGGCUCUUGAUCCAAGGAACUGCACCAGAACUUCCUUCCUCUCCGAUUGAACUUGACUAUCCUAAUUAGUGUAUUGGCCAGGGUAACUACCAACACCACAAGAUGAGAAGACUCAUUUCCGCCAGUAUGUUGGCACAACCCUUAUUUGCAUAUCUUGAUACUUCGGUUGAACUUCGACUGAUGCUCUAUAGUCGACAUACCCACAUCUAUUUGAUGUGUCUAUGACGAAAGCAUGCCACUGUGGGACACUGAUAAUGACUUAGUGUUACUAUGUGCUAGUGUAAGGGAGUGCAACGGCAUGUUACAAAGUACUACUACAUCCAAAAUGUUCAUAUACAUUGUUCCCUAAUAUCUGGCUAAUGGAUUCCUCCUUUCACCAUCUACCGUCAU
Long non-coding RNA from Cherax quadricarinatus, 427 nucleotides. RefSeq lists it as uncharacterized. NCBI's taxonomy places the organism in Eukaryota, Metazoa, Arthropoda, Malacostraca, Decapoda, Parastacidae. The record is from RefSeq and is a predicted model, not a curated record.